GACCAUUUGAUCAAGCAGAAGCAACAAAUUAGUCCGUAUCAUGUAGUGUGGGUCCAUGGGAGGAGGAAUUCACCGCAACGGUAACGUUGAACGGGCAGAAGCGAUGUUUAUCUGUUUCAAUCGUUGGUCGAAAAAACAACACACAAUGCAUCUGCAGAGUGUCACCUUAUGCUUGUGUGGUUGGUAAUUACCAAUUGCUUUUAAAAAGUCCUCUUUCGGAGCUCUUGAAUGGCACCAGACAUGAGUGGUACUGUAAUACCUAAAAUUGUGUAUGCGCCGUUGCAUCAAUUCUGCUUCUUUAUUUCUGAACACAUGGCCGUGAAAUUCUGGUCAGCUUAAUGUCAAUUAUAUUUUGGAAGCGCUAGGUUUUGGAAAGUCCGUGUCAGAUUGUAGGACGCGUCUAGCGAGCGAGGCCGCUCGCUAGCGCUUUAAAGCAGCCUUCCACUUUUAGUAAAUUUGUGUCCCUGUCAAACAAAUUAGGAAAGAUUCUGUCCUAUUGGCUAGGAAAAGUAUCAUUCAACGAUGUUUUGAAAAAGAAAGAUUAUAACGCACUCAUGAGACAUGUCUGAACGCGUUUAAUUUGGAGUUCAACCUCUUUUAAAAUGUCAUAACUUUUGAACCGAAUAUAGAAAUUAAGAUUCGUUUUCACUGUUGGAUUCCUCGCGAUGUCCUCUUCGAAACUAGACCCAAUAUGCGCCUGUUUCGAAAAAACUUUUUCGUGUGCAAUUUAGGCACCGUUUGGUGCAACUGUCUAGUUCUCGUUGUGCAACUACUGAUACUCGAUGUGCAACUUUUUUCUGACUCGUGGACAUGCACUUUCACUCGCAAACAUAUGUGCAACCAGUUAUCUGCUUUCGUGCAACUACAGCAAUUCAAGCAGCCAACUAUGGGCACACUGUCUCAAAAAAAAGUAGACAGAAAAUAUAUCCACAAUAGUUGUGUGCAAACAAAACAUAGGCAGAUUUAAGCUGCUUUCAUGCAACUAAAUCAGUUCCAGCAACCAAAAAAGUAGACACACUGUGUGCAAAAAUUAUGUGCAACAAAAAAGAUGUGCAACAACAUAGUAAGUUUGUCAGCAUCCCAAGCACCAAACCAGUAAACCCAGCCAUUAUUGUGGCAACUGCAGCACCAAGUGAGCCAGCAGCAGGUCCAAAUGAACCAACUGUAUCAGAUGUUGUGCCAACUCCACUAGCAAGUGAGCCAUCUACAGACACAACUGUGCAACCACAACAACCAGGUGGAGGGAAAGUGAGGAUCCAUUAAAUUUCUUCCUCUUUAACUUCCCCUUCACCUCCCCUCCCGACCUUGUUUACCCAUGGCUUUGUCAUCUUCAAAAAAAAGUGUAGACUCCUAUAGACUUCCUUCUUGAGAUGAUUGUGCAUUUUGAAAUUUAUGUGCUAUAGCUGGUUUAGUUUGAAGUAUAAUGCUGCAGUGAAACAAAAACGUUCCAGCAAUGAUGAAGUGGGGCACUUCCAUUUGCCAUGCUGAUAUUAAAUUUCCAGUUAUUUCCAUGGCAUGUAUGGACUAGUUAGCCUAGAGACUUGGCAGAUUUAUCUACCUGGUUCUGUUUUUUCGUAUCCCUGACCAUCCUCCCAUUUGCAGCAUUCAGUAUGUGUUGUCAAACAUCGACAACUGCAUCCAGUACGGGGAAGAUGCUGAUGUGAAAGUUAGGGAUUUCAUUCCUAAGGAUGAUGAUUGACCAUUUGAUCAAGCAGAAGCAACAAAUUAGUCUGUAUCAUGUAGUGUGGGUCCAUGGGAGGAGGAAUUCACCGCCACACGAUAACGCUGAACGGGCAUAAGUGAUGUUUAUCUGUUUCAAUCGUUGGUCGGAAAAACAAAAGAGAAUGCAUCUGCAGAGUGUAUUUAGUCACCUUAUGCUUGUGUGGUUGGUAAUUACCAAUUGCUUUUAAAAAGUCCUCCUCUUCCGGAGCUCUUGAAUGGCACCAGACAUGAGUGGUACUGUAAUACCAUGGUACUGUAAUACCAAGAAUAGUGUAUGCGCCUUUGCAUCAAUUCUGCUCCUUUAUUUCUGAACACAUGGCCGUGAAAUUCUGGUCAGCUUAAUGUCAGUUAUAUU
RNAcentral lists this long non-coding RNA (2077 nucleotides) under Triticum aestivum (bread wheat). Its description in RNAcentral is "long non-coding RNA (TAES_LNC002753)". Lineage: Eukaryota; Viridiplantae; Streptophyta; Magnoliopsida; Poales; Poaceae. The record is from RNAcentral.